CUCCGGGUGAUCCUGCCGGACCCGACUGCUAUCAGAGUGGGACUAAGCCAUGCGAGUCAACAUAGCAAUAUGUGGCAUACGGCUCAGUAACACGUAGUCAACAUGCCCAGGGGACGUGGAUAACCUCGGGAAACUGAGGAUAAACCGCGAUAGGUCAUCACUUCUGGAAUGGGUAAUGACUUAAAUCUAUAUGGCCCCUGGAUUGGACUGCGGCCGAUCAGGCUGUUGGUGAGGUAAUGGCCCACCAAACCUGUAACCGGUACGGGCUCUGAGAGGAGGAGCCCGGAGAUGGGCACCGAGACAAGGGCCCAGGCCCUAUGGGGCGCAGCAGGCGCGAAACCUCUGCAAUAGGCGAAAGCUUGACAGGGUUACUCCGAGUGAUGCCCGCUAAGGGCAUCUUUUGGCACCUCUAAAAAUGGUGCAGAAUAAGGGGUGGGCAAGUCUGGUGUCAGCCGCCGCGGUAAUACCAGCACCCCGAGUGGUCGGGACGAUUAUUGGGCCUAAAGCAUCCGUAGCUUGUUCUGCAAGUCCUCCGUUAAAUCCACCUGCUCAACAGAUGGGCUGCGGGGGAUACUACAGGGCUAGGAGGCGGGAGAGGCAAACGGUACUCAGUGGGUAGGGGUAAAAUCCUCUGAUCCACUGAAGACCACCAGUGGCGAAGGCGGUUUGCCAGAACGCGCUCGACGGUGAGGGAUGAAAGCUGGGGGAGCAAACCGGAUUAGAUACCCGGGUAGUCCCAGCUGUAAACGAUGCAGACUCGGUGAUGGGUUGGCUUUGAGCCAACCCAGUGCCGCAGGGAAGCCGUUAAGUCUGCCGCCUGGGGAGUACGGUCGCAAGACUGAAACUUAAAGGAAUUUGGCGGGGAGCA
This 868-nucleotide ribosomal RNA is filed under the name uncultured archaeon. Its description in RNAcentral is "bacterial SSU rRNA". It matches the Rfam family "Archaeal small subunit ribosomal RNA", at positions 1 to 878 of the family's 1478-position model. The record is from RNAcentral.